This 545-nucleotide ribosomal RNA is filed under the name uncultured bacterium. RNAcentral describes it as "bacterial SSU rRNA". It matches the Rfam family "Bacterial small subunit ribosomal RNA", at positions 777 to 1320 of the family's 1533-position model. The record is from RNAcentral.
AAUAGAUACCCUGGUAGUCCACCCCGUAAACGUUGGGAACUAGUUGUGGGGACCAUUCCACGGUUUCCGUGACGCAGCUAACGCAUUAAGUUCCCCGCCUGGGGAGUACGGCCGCAAGGCUAAAACUCAAAGGAAUUGACGGGGACCCGCACAAGCGGCGGAGCAUGCGGAUUAAUUCGAUGCAACGCGAAGAACCUUACCAAGGCUUGACAUACACGAGAACACCCUGGAAACAGGGGACUCUUUGGACACUCGUGAACAGGUGGUGCAUGGUUGUCGUCAGCUCGUGUCGUGAGAUGUUGGGUUAAGUCCCGCAACGAGCGCAACCCUCGUUCUAUGUUGCCAGCACGUAAUGGUGGGAACUCAUGGGAUACUGCCGGGGUCAACUCGGAGGAAGGUGGGGAUGACGUCAAAUCAUCAUGCCCCUUAUGUCUUGGGCUUCACGCAUGCUACAAUGGCCGGUACAAAGGGCUGCAAUACCGUGAGGUGGAGCGAAUCCCAAAAAGCCGGUCCCAGUUCGGAUUGAGGUCUGCAACUCGACCUCA